CCUACGGGAGGCAGCAGUGAGGAAUAUUGGUCAAUGGGCGUAAGCCUGAACCAGCCAAGUCGCGUGAGGGAUGAAGGUUCUAUGGAUCGUAAACCUCUUUUAUAAGGGAAUAAAGUGUGGGACGUGUCCUGUUUUGUAUGUACCUUAUGAAUAAGGAUCGGCUAACUCCGUGCCAGCAGCCGCGGUAAUACGGAGGAUGCGAGCGUUAUCCGGAUUUAUUGGGUUUAAAGGGUGCGCAGGCGGAUUUUUAAGUCAGCGGUCAAAUCGUGGGGCUCAACCCCAUCCAGCCGUUGAAACUGGGGAUCUAGAGUGUGCGAGAGGUAUGCGGAAUGCGUGGUGUAGCGGUGAAAUGCAUAGAUAUCACACAGAACACCGAUUGCGAAGGCAUCUCACGAAUCCGCGAUUGACGCUGAUGCACGAAAGCGUGGGUAUCAAACAGGAUUAGAUACCCCUGUAGUC
This 459-nucleotide ribosomal RNA is filed under the name uncultured bacterium. RNAcentral's name for it is "partial 16S ribosomal RNA". It matches the Rfam family "Bacterial small subunit ribosomal RNA", at positions 338 to 795 of the family's 1533-position model. The record is from RNAcentral.